UCAACCAGAGCCAAGAAAGGCUCUCAUGCUCAAACCCUAAACUUAAAAAAUUCAUCAAAUUGAAAGGGCAAAUCAAGCCUAAAUCGAAAUCCAAGCACAAAUUAGUGAUCACCUCAGUAAAGGGAUCAUAAGGCUCGGUGGUUGAAUUCUCAAGCGGUCAAGUCGGAGUGGACGCGCGCCUGAAGGAUAUGCUUUAAAAGGUAAUGUUGGCAAUACUCCGGAUGGCGAUCAAGCAAUAUGUCAAAGAACCGAACACGACACUUUUGAAGUUUCCACGUUAAUAUAUUUUGUUUUAACUAAAUAUGAACAUGUAACUCUUGACGUCACAUUUUGUACAUUUUAAACCAGUAGGGAUGUUAAUCCUAAAGAC
Helianthus annuus (common sunflower) is the source of this 370-nucleotide long non-coding RNA. RefSeq lists it as uncharacterized. NCBI's taxonomy places the organism in Eukaryota, Viridiplantae, Streptophyta, Magnoliopsida, Asterales, Asteraceae. The record is from RefSeq and is a predicted model, not a curated record. The transcript is spliced from 3 exons.